UCUCUGGUGGUCCAGCGGUUAAGGAUCCCACGCUCUCACCGUGGCAGCCUGGGUUGGAUUCCCAGGCCGGGGCG
This is a non-coding RNA of Ameiurus melas (black bullhead), 74 nucleotides long. The record is from the annotation of a GenBank genome assembly. NCBI's taxonomy places the organism in Eukaryota, Metazoa, Chordata, Actinopteri, Siluriformes, Ictaluridae.